RNAcentral lists this transfer RNA (87 nucleotides) under Araneus ventricosus. It matches the Rfam family "tRNA". From Rfam's summary of the family: Transfer RNA (tRNA) molecules are approximately 80 nucleotides in length. Their secondary structure includes four short double-helical elements and three loops (D, anti-codon, and T loops). Further hydrogen bonds mediate the characteristic L-shaped molecular structure. tRNAs have two regions of fundamental functional importance: the anti-codon, which is responsible for specific mRNA codon recognition, and the 3' end, to which the tRNAs corresponding amino acid is attached (by aminoacyl-tRNA synthetases). tRNAs cope with the degeneracy of the genetic code in two manners: having more than one tRNA (with a specific anti-codon) for a particular amino acid; and 'wobble' base-pairing, i.e. permitting non-standard base-pairing at the 3rd anti-codon position. Lineage: Eukaryota; Metazoa; Arthropoda; Arachnida; Araneae; Araneidae. The record is from Rfam by way of RNAcentral.
CCGUCGAUAGCUCAGUUGGCAGAGCGGUGGACUGUAGGCGCUAAAGCAGAUAUCCAUAGGUCGCUGGUUCGACUCCGGCUCGACGGA